This 253-nucleotide ribosomal RNA is filed under the name uncultured bacterium. Its description in RNAcentral is "partial 16S ribosomal RNA". It matches the Rfam family "Bacterial small subunit ribosomal RNA", at positions 524 to 776 of the family's 1533-position model. The record is from RNAcentral.
UACAGAGGUGGCGAGCGUUGUUCGGAUUUAUUGGGCGUAAAGGGUCCGUAGGCGGACCGGAAAGUCUGAUGUGAAAUCCCACAGCUUAACUGUGGAACUGCAUUGGAAACUUCCGGACUAGAGUGUGAGAGGGGUUAAGGGAAUUCCCGGUGUAAGGGUGAAAUCUGCAGAGAUCGGGAGGAACACCAGUCGCGAAGGCGCUUAACUGGCUCACUACUGACGCUCAGGGACGAAAGCUAGGGGAGCAAACGGG